GUGCACGACGUGCCAGCAGCCGCGGUGGUAGUUGUGGUGGGUGCGUUGUCCGGUUUUAGUGGGCGUAAAGAGCUCGUAUGUGGUUUGUUGCGUCGGGAGUGAAAACACGCAGCUCAACUGUGUGCUUGCUUUCGAUACGGGCAGACUUGAGGGAUGUAGGGGAGAACGGAAUUCCUGGUGGAGCGGUGGAAUGCGCAGAUAUCAGGAGGAACACCGGUGGCGAAGGCGGUUCUCUGGACAUUUCCUGACGCUGAGGAGCGAAAGCGUGGGGAGCAAACAGGAUUAGAUACCCUAGUAGUC
This 300-nucleotide ribosomal RNA is filed under the name uncultured Lactobacillus sp. RNAcentral's name for it is "bacterial SSU rRNA". It matches the Rfam family "Bacterial small subunit ribosomal RNA", at positions 496 to 795 of the family's 1533-position model. The record is from RNAcentral. Lineage: Bacteria; Bacillati; Bacillota; Bacilli; Lactobacillales; Lactobacillaceae.